UUGACCUCAAAUCAGUAAGA
RNAcentral lists this ribosomal RNA (20 nucleotides) under Coprinus sp. r072. RNAcentral describes it as "partial 28S ribosomal RNA". The record is from RNAcentral. Lineage: Eukaryota; Fungi; Basidiomycota; Agaricomycetes; Agaricales; Agaricaceae.